GAUGAACGCUGGCGGCGUGCCUAAUACAUGCAAGUCGAGCGAACACACCCGGACCUUGCCGCUCUGAUGUUAGCGGCGGACGGGUGAGUAACACGUGGAUAACCUCCCUCACAGACUGGGAUACCUUCGGGAAACCGGCGAUAAUACCGGAUAAUAUAUUGAACCGCAUGGUUCAAUAGUGAAAGACGGUUUUGCUGACACUCAUAGAUGGUUCCGCGCCGCAUUAGCUAGUUGGUCAGGUAAAGGCUUACCAAGGCAACGAUGCGUAGCCGACCUCAGGGGGUGGUCGGCCACACUGGAACUGGGACAGGCUCCAUACGCCUACGGGAGGCAGCAGUAGGGAACGUUCCGCAAUGGUCGAAAGCCUUACGGAGCAACGCCGCGUGAGUGAUGAAGGUCUUCGGAUCGUAAAACUCUGCUUUUAGGGAAGAACAAAUGUGUAAGUAACUAAACAGGUCGUGACGGUACCUAAUCAGAAAGCCACGGCUAACUACGUG
RNAcentral lists this ribosomal RNA (497 nucleotides) under uncultured bacterium. RNAcentral describes it as "partial 16S ribosomal RNA". It matches the Rfam family "Bacterial small subunit ribosomal RNA", at positions 28 to 507 of the family's 1533-position model. The record is from RNAcentral.